CCAGGCAUCCCCGCGACGCCAGCGGCGGCACCGUCCACCGCCAGCAUCUCCCGCUUCACCUCCUCCUCGACGCCGCCGCCGGCUGGCGAGCCGAUGAAGUCCCUGGCGAAGGCGUCGUCGUAGUCCAUCCCAGGCGCCUGCAGGUAGUCGGCGAAGAGCCACGGCGUCUGCGGCUGCUGCAUCUGCAUCAUGGGCGACGGCGAGGCGGCGGCGUCGGCCGGCCGCUGCGCGAGCAGCGAGGCCAGCUCGUCGUGGAACUGGAAGUCGCCCGAGUGGUGGCGCCAGUGCUGGUCAUGGCUCGCCCCCGACAUCGACGGAUGGAUGGGUAGAUCGGAGCUGGAGCUAGCUAGCUCGAUCAAUCGAAUCGAAGCUCCGGUUCUUGCCGUAGUAGCGAAUGUGUAGAGGCCGCGGCGGCAGUGGUGCAGUAGGGGGGAAGGCAGGGCAGGGCCAAGGAGAGGAGGGAGAGGGAGAGGGAGAGGGAGAGGAAGCUUAGCUAGCACGACGAGUAGCUACAAGGCUGGGCUAGUGUGUGAUUGUGUGUGGGGAAAGAUGGAUGGAUGGAUGGAGGAAUAGGUGGUUGGGUGGGUGCAUGGGUCAAGGGCUUCUCCAUCUUUAUUUCUUUCUUUCUUUCUUCUUGCGGGGAAAGUGCCAGCUUCUCCCUGCGGAAUGGUUCUACUUAACUACUAUUCAUUUACUUCGUCAAUCGGAGAUGUAGUAUAUAUACUCCAUCAGUAGUACGUAUAAACAACAUGCACACUUGCUCGGAUUUUUUGGUCUCAUCACAUCACAUGCAAGCAUGUCUAGGUCUUUU
This 811-nucleotide long non-coding RNA is filed under the name Hordeum vulgare. RNAcentral's name for it is "long non-coding RNA (HVUL_LNC002363)". Lineage: Eukaryota; Viridiplantae; Streptophyta; Magnoliopsida; Poales; Poaceae. The record is from RNAcentral.